This 435-nucleotide ribosomal RNA is filed under the name uncultured bacterium. RNAcentral's name for it is "partial 16S ribosomal RNA". It matches the Rfam family "Bacterial small subunit ribosomal RNA", at positions 29 to 507 of the family's 1533-position model. The record is from RNAcentral.
AGCGAACGCUGGCGGCAGGCUUAACACAUGCAAGUCGAGCGGGCACUUUCGGGUGUCAGCGGCGGACGGGUGAGUAACGCGUGGGAACGUGCCCUCUGGUUCGGAAUAACUCAGGGAAACUUGAGCUAAUACCGGAUACGCCCUUUGGGGGAAAGGCUUGCUGCCGGGGGAUCGGCCCGCGUCUGAUUAGCUAGUUGGUGAGGUAACGGCUCACCAAGGCGACGAUCAGUAGCUGGUCUGAGAGGAUGAUCAGCCACACUGGGACUGCGACACGGCCCAGACUCCUACGGGAGGCAGCAGUGGGGAAUAUUGGACAAUGGGCGCAAGCCUGAUCCAGCCAUGCCGCGUGAGUGAUCAAGGCCUUAGGGUUGUAAAGCUCUUUUAUCCGGGACGAUAAUGACGGUACCGGAGGAAUAAGCCCCGGCUAACUUCGUG